CAUCGGUGUCCCAACAUGGAGGAUUUUCUAAGGAAAUACUUGUCAGAUCGUCUAUCCCCCUGGUUUCGUUGAAGUGGGACUGAUUGGUUGAAAGACCCAUUGAAACAUCAUGUAAACUACCUCUCCUGGACUGUAACAUCACGGGCGAACCUUAAUUUAAUACAGAUUGGGAGAGUUCACAUCUUCAGAAGAAUUAUUUUGCCCUAAUAUAAAAUUGAUCUCUUCAGAA
Penaeus monodon (black tiger shrimp) is the source of this 229-nucleotide long non-coding RNA. RefSeq lists it as uncharacterized. The record is from RefSeq and is a predicted model, not a curated record. The transcript has 3 exons. Lineage: Eukaryota; Metazoa; Arthropoda; Malacostraca; Decapoda; Penaeidae.